RNAcentral lists this ribosomal RNA (489 nucleotides) under uncultured bacterium. Its description in RNAcentral is "bacterial SSU rRNA". It matches the Rfam family "Bacterial small subunit ribosomal RNA", at positions 28 to 517 of the family's 1533-position model. The record is from RNAcentral.
GACGAACGCUGGCGGCGUGCUUAAUACAUGCAAGUCAACUUGACUUUAGGUAACAAUAUCGAAAAGUAGGGUGGCGCACGGUGCGUAACGCGUAGGUAAUCUGCCCUGAGGUCUGACAUAACCCGUCGAAAGGCGGGCUAACAUCAGAUGAUAUAUAAUCACGACAUCGUGGAAAUAUCAAAUCUUCGGAGCCUUGGGAUGAGCCUGCGUCUGAUUAGGUAGUUGGCGGAGUAAUAGCCCACCAAGCCUACGAUCAGUAGCUGGUCUGAGAGGAUGAUCAGCCACACUGGAACUGAGACACGGUCCAGACUCCUACGGGAGGCAGCAGUAAGGAAUAUUGCUCAAUGGGGGAAACCCUGAAGCAGCAACGCCGCGUGAAGGAUGAAAUACUUUUGUAUGUGAACUUCUGUAAGAUGGGAAAAUAUUCUCCUCGGGAGAAUUGAUUGUACCAUCAGAGUAAGCCCCGGCUAACCUACGUGCCAGCAGCCG